UUAACUCAAAUUUGUAUGGAGUUGGAACGUUUGCCUACGUUUGCCGCUAGGGGCGCUGUUCCAACUGCAUACAAAUCUAAGUUA
This 84-nucleotide microRNA precursor is filed under the name Bombyx mori (domestic silkworm). RNAcentral describes it as "mir-2807 microRNA precursor family". It matches the Rfam family "mir-2807 microRNA precursor family". Lineage: Eukaryota; Metazoa; Arthropoda; Insecta; Lepidoptera; Bombycidae. The record is from Rfam by way of RNAcentral.